RNAcentral lists this ribosomal RNA (468 nucleotides) under uncultured bacterium. RNAcentral describes it as "partial 16S ribosomal RNA". It matches the Rfam family "Bacterial small subunit ribosomal RNA", at positions 28 to 507 of the family's 1533-position model. The record is from RNAcentral.
GACGAACGCUGGCGGCGUGCUUAACACAUGCAAGUCGAACGGAAAGGCCCUGCUUUUGUGGGGUGCUCGAGUGGCGAACGGGUGAGUAACACGUGAGUAACCUGCCCUUGACUUUGGGAUAACUUCAGGAAACUGGGGCUAAUACCGGAUAGGAGCUCCUGCUGCAUGGUGGGGGUUGGAAAGUUUCGGCGGUUGGGGUUGGACUCGCGGCUUAUCAGCUUGUUGGUGGGGUAGUGGCUUACCAAGGCGUUGACGGGUAGCCGGCCUGAGAGGGUGACCGGCCACAUUGGGACUGAGAUACGGCCCAGACUGCUACGGGAGGCAGCAGUGGGGAAUAUUGCACAAUGGGCGGAAGCCUGAGGCAGCAACGCCGCGUGCGGGAUGACGGCCUUCGGGUUGUAAACCGCUUUCGCCUGUGACGAAGCGUGAGUGACGGUAAUGGGUAAAGAAGCACCGGCUAACUACGUG